Molecule: long non-coding RNA, 1332 nt
Filed under: Mus musculus (house mouse)
Lineage: Eukaryota; Metazoa; Chordata; Mammalia; Rodentia; Muridae
Description: long non-coding RNA chr12:53274262-53275594
Source: RNAcentral
UAGAUGCUAACAUAAAAAUUCAGAAGUGAUCGUAUUUAUAGAAAUAGUGGUUAGAAUAUGAACAAGUUGACUCAUAAUGUUCAAAACAUUAUUUUCUCCAACUAGGAGCAAUACUCCCAUUUUUUUUGUAUCACUUUGUACUGUACAGAAAUUUGAUGCACAUUUUUUAAUUUGGCGUUUGCUAAAUGUUAGGUUGGGCUAAGAAUGAUCUUUCUUUGACUCGAACUAGUCUUUCUUUUUUCUUUUAAACAUUUUUUAAAAAGAGUUAUUUAUUUAUUUAUUUAUUUAUUUAUUUAUUUAUUUAAUGUAUAGGAGUACUCUGUCAUUCUCUUCAGACACACCAGAAGAGGGCAUCAGAUCCCAUUUAUGGGUGGUUGUGAGCCACCAUGUGGUUGCUGGGAUUUAAACUCAUGACAUCUGGAAGAGCAGUCAGUGCUCUUAACUGCUGAGUCAUCUCUCCAGCCCCCAUCAAACUAGACUUUCAGGUUACAAGUUAUUGUGGUCACUUUUAGAUGCAGAUGAUGAGGAAUACAAAGUAUACUGACUAAAAUUCCACAGCUAGGGAGUCUCCUAGUCAUGAUUCCAUUGCAGGUGUCCUGGGCACCAUGUCCUAGCUUCAAGUCUGACACUGGGAUCAUCUUCUCUAUGCAGAAGUGCUGGAUUUCGCCUCUUCCCCCAUUAUUAAAAAAAAAAAAAAAGCAAUAUUUUUCUGAAAAUUUUACACAUGUAUUUCAUAUAUAUAAAUAUAUGAUAUAUAAUAUAAUAUAGUUUAUAUACAUACAUUUUAUACAUGUAAACAACAUAUCUUUGUCAUACCCACUCCUCAUCCCUAGAAUCUCACCAUUACAUCUCCCUCCAAAUCUCAUGUCCUCCUACUUAAAUGAGUCAGUUAAUUAACUAACUAGUUUAUUUAUUUAAAUCCACCAAGUGCAGCCAGUGCUGUUCACAUUUUCAUAGAUAUGUGGUUAUCCAUUGGGAUGUGGCUAACCAUUACUUUUUAAAAAAUGAUUUUAUUGAGGCAAUUCUCCUAGUGUUCUUUGGUUGGCCUCGAAUUCCCGGGCUUGAGUACCCUGUCUCACUCAGUGUCCUGAAUUCUGAGCCCAUAGAUAUGCGGCACUGUGACUGAUGGAGGCCCGUCCCUAGAACUUUGGCCAUUUCUUUAAAUUAAAAACAAUCCACUUGUUACAUUGGAAAACUUGAGAUAUCUCAAUGAAGAUAUUUAACAUUCCAUAUGUAUAGAGGGAGCUUAAAGAUUUAAUGGUCAUGUCUGUUAUAAGCAGAUAGCCUAUUUAUUCUGCCAGAGAAGGUUUGUGUAUUUUAAAAGGUGCAAUU